This 253-nucleotide ribosomal RNA is filed under the name uncultured bacterium. Its description in RNAcentral is "partial 16S ribosomal RNA". It matches the Rfam family "Bacterial small subunit ribosomal RNA", at positions 524 to 776 of the family's 1533-position model. The record is from RNAcentral.
UACGUAGGGGGCAAGCGUUGUCCGGAUUCAUUGGGCGUAAAGAGCGUGUAGGCGGCCAGGUAGGUCGGUUGUGAAAACUGGAGGCUCAACCUUCAGAGGUCGACCGAAACCAUCUGGCUAGAGUCCGGGAGAGGAGAGUGGAAUUCCUGGUGUAGCGGUGAAAUGCGCAGAUAUCAGGAGGAACACCGGUGGCGAAGGCGGUUCUCUGGGCAUGACCUGACGCUGAGGAGCGAAAGUGUGGGGAGCGAACAGG